Molecule: long non-coding RNA, 630 nt
Filed under: Elaeis guineensis (African oil palm)
Lineage: Eukaryota; Viridiplantae; Streptophyta; Magnoliopsida; Arecales; Arecaceae
Description: long non-coding RNA (EGUI_LNC055952)
Source: RNAcentral
CUUAGUGGGAUUGAGACCCUAAUUCCUUAUAAAAGAUCUUGUGGUUGCACAACAAACCUUUUAUAAGUUUAAAGGUAGGAAACUCUUUCCAAUUGCAUCUCAUGCAAUUCUCAAUAAUAAGCCCUGGCCUCUAAAACAUUAAUAGCCUUGUGUUUACACAACAGACCAUAAUGUUUUAGUUAAGUAGGACCCUUCAUUUUAAUACAGUCAAAAUAGAAUAUAAAUGCUUUUGUGGUUACACAACAAAGCAUUAUACUCAAAAAUUGCUGUAAGCAUAUCAAUGUGCCAGAACAAUAUUAUGUCAGUUUCCAUAAUUGGUCUUGUGGUUACACAACAAACCUAAUAUGGUUCAUGACAUAGUAAUGUCAUAGCAUGAAGAAAGGCCAUAAUAUAGUGAAUAUAACACCGAGCAUCCCAGUCAAGAAUUAAAUUAAUCUAAUCAGCCAGGUAAGUGGAAGAGAGGUGGGGGUCCCCCCGUUGCUUUCCUUAAACACCAAUAAAUUUUGGCCAGGUCAGACAACGGAACCAAUUAGAAACCACAUUCUCUUUACCAAUCAGGAACCACUUUCCUAGACACCGAUUGAUCAAUUAGACAUCAUCGACUGGUUCUGCUAUUGGUUAAUUACACUA